Molecule: ribosomal RNA, 336 nt
Filed under: uncultured bacterium
Lineage: Bacteria
Description: partial 16S ribosomal RNA
Rfam family: Bacterial small subunit ribosomal RNA
Source: RNAcentral
CCUACGGGGGGCAGCAGUAAGGGAUAUUGGUCAAUGGGGGAAACCCUGAACCAGCAACGCCGCGUGAGGGAAGACGGUUUUCGGAUUGUAAACCUCUGUCCUCGGGGAAGAGGAUGACGGUAGCAGAGGAGGAAGCUACGGCUAACUACGUGCCAGCAGCCGCGGGAAUACGUAGGGAGCGAGCGUUGUCCGGAUUUACUGGGUGUAAAGGGUGCGGAGGCGGCUUGGCAAGUCAGUAGUGAAAUCCAUGGGCUUAACCCAUGAACUGCUAUUGAAACUGUCGAGCUUUAGUGAAGUAGAGGUAGGCGGACUUCCCGGUGUAGCGGUGCAUCGCGU